Molecule: ribosomal RNA, 550 nt
Filed under: uncultured bacterium
Lineage: Bacteria
Description: partial 16S ribosomal RNA
Rfam family: Bacterial small subunit ribosomal RNA
Source: RNAcentral
UGGGGAAUAUUGCACAAUGGGCGAAAGCCUGAUGCAGCAACGCCGCGUGAGUGAUGAAGGUCUUCGGAUUGUAAAGCUCUGUCUUUUGGGACGAUAAUGACGGUACCAAAGGAGGAAGCCACGGCUAACUACGUGCCAGCAGCCGCGGUAAUACGUAGGUGGCGAGCGUUGUCCGGAUUUACUGGGCGUAAAGGGUGCGUAGGCGGAUGUUUAAGUGAGAUGUGAAAUACCCGGGCUUAACUUGGGUGCUGCAUUUCAAACUGGAUAUCUAGAGUGCAGGAGAGGAGAAUGGAAUUCCUAGUGUAGCGGUGAAAUGCGUAGAGAUUAGGAAGAACACCAGUGGCGAAGGCGAUUCUCUGGACUGUAACUGACGCUGAGGCACGAAAGCGUGGGUAGCAAACAGGAUUAGAUACCCUGGUAGUCCACGCCGUAAACGAUGAGUACUAGGUGUAGGAGGUAUCGACCCCUUCUGUGCCGCAGUAAACACAUUAAGUACUCCGCCUGGGAAGUACGAUCGCAAGAUUAAAACUCUAAGUGAAUUGACGGGGUC